GCUAGCGUAGCAGAGCCUGGUAAAUGCAG
Molecule: transfer RNA, 29 nt
Filed under: Anthracothorax nigricollis (black-throated mango)
Lineage: Eukaryota; Metazoa; Chordata; Aves; Apodiformes; Trochilidae
Description: partial tRNA-Leu
Source: RNAcentral